ACUCACUAUACGAGGACCAGAGUGUCUUUGGCAGGUGGAGGCUGGCUCACGGGAGAACACCAAGUGAGGGGGCUCCUCUGUGAACCCAAGAAACUUCAAGGAACCCCACAGCGUCUCCCUUAUGACCUCCCAUCUCCAGAUUAGGAAGCUAUGGAUUCCCAGAGGGUCCUUUGGAAGUAUCUAGAAAUGUCCAGGGUGAGUCUAGCCAGGUUCACCUUCAGGAUGCUUUCCCCAUGCCCUGUGGUUGAGACGGCUCCGAUGUCAUUGUCGGCAUAACCUCCAGCUCCUGCUC
RNAcentral lists this long non-coding RNA (292 nucleotides) under Homo sapiens (human). RNAcentral describes it as "HSALNT0363037". The record is from RNAcentral. Lineage: Eukaryota; Metazoa; Chordata; Mammalia; Primates; Hominidae.